This is a long non-coding RNA of Gadus chalcogrammus (walleye pollock), 1793 nucleotides long. RefSeq lists it as uncharacterized. Lineage: Eukaryota; Metazoa; Chordata; Actinopteri; Gadiformes; Gadidae. The transcript is spliced from 5 exons. The record is from RefSeq and is a predicted model, not a curated record.
CGUCAGUGAGGUGAACAAACUCGGCGCCAAAACGGGACUGACGCAGUAAGGAAAAGUUAUCGACGACGACGAGUCAAUUUCAACUGAACGCAAUUUUAACGGAUAUUCAGAGCUGGAGAACUACGGAGCAGCUGUCGAGCAUGGAUGACUUGGAUGUCACAACACUGUCUGUGUUACAAGCUGCUGAUGUUGAUGAAGGGGUUUUAAAAACCCUCUCUCGGGAGGAUCUUUUGGAUCUUCUUCCUGGACCACAGAACUUUCUGCGAAGAAAGAAGUUGUGGGAUCACAUUCAUCCAAAGGAACAGAGUGAGAAUGCAGUGAGAGAAGCCAUUGAUCAGCCAUCCAUGUUGCCAAGCCAGCCAUCCACACAUGCCAUGUUACCAAGCCUGCCAAGCCAGCCAUCCACAAGUGCCAUGUGGCCAAGCCCGCCACGGACCUCCACCCCCAAAAGCCAUCACCAGAAAACCGUAAAAAUGCCGGACCCUCCUGAGUAUGUGGUAUACACCGAUUCAGAACUUGACUUGGUUCGGAGCCAGUAUUUUGAACUGCUCCGCAGUGGGAAAGGGUCACAGUGCAAGAUGUCUAAAGACCUAUUUUGCAGACUGAUAAGGAACACUGUAACCAGCAUGGUGGCUAUCCUCCGUGCCAGUAGUUUGUGUCAAGAACAGAUGUACCCUUCAAAAAGGGAAAUUCAGGCAGUGGCUGAGAAGAUUGUUGAUUAUUACCCUAUGCUGCAAGACUCAUCAAACACGCCUUAUGUAAGUGCCUUUUCUAUUUCAAAUAAUGUAGUGGGUUAGGCUGUGGAGUAAUGACUCAAACAUUUCUUUCCUACAGCUGACUGUGUACUCUAAAAUGUAUAAGCAUAUCCAAAACAUCAAGUCCCCAAGAAAAAGGCAAGGACGAAUGCCACAACGGGGGGUACCUAAGAAGAGGUCUCUCCUUGAGUCAAGUCUUGAAGAUGACAGUGAUGCUUCAACCAAUUUGUCGGUUGCUUCAACAGUAAUUCUGCCGGACAGCGAUGAUAACGACGCUGAGCUCAGCCAAGGCCAAUGGAGAAGUAAAUGAGUGCUAAAAUAUUCCACCACAAUACGAUUUUGUUUGUAAAGACCCGUUAUCAUGAACCCAUUUAAACUUUUUUUAAAGCCUUUCUAGGGGCAUGAAUAAAUGUCCUUGUAUUUGACCUUUUCUUUGGUGUUGUAUGUUAAGACCAGGACAGCCGCAAAACACAAGCAAGGCACUAUCAGACAUUACAGACCAUGUACAGCAAACCUAAGUCUAAGCCAAAUGGAAGUGAUGUUGCUCAGAUUUUGGACUUGGAGUUCGAGGCCAGGCGGGCCUUUAUUGAUUCUGAUGCAACAAAGGAAGAAGACAAGGCAGCCAAGAUUAUGGAUGCAUAUCCAUGUUUUAGAGAUCCCCGACAUGCAGUUGACGAGCUUGGGCGUAUCCUUGGUGGCGCCAACAGUAAAUACAUUGACGAUACCAAGAAAAGAUGGCAGACCUUCUGUACCAAUGUCCAAUUCUAUGGUCUGUGGAAGAAGGUCCUAAAACCCCCCAUUCCUGUGGAUAUGGCUGGAGGUAUGUUCUGUAUUAUAAUCUGAAUUGUAAUCUAUCAAAUCAUGUGCAGAAUAUGUGCAUAGUGUAUCUGACAUAUGGACUGGAAACCCGUCUAUUCCAUGCUGUUCUCUUCAUGUGGUAACAGUUGGACCAAGGGGUCAUGCCCGGUCUCUACAGAUUCAUCUGUUCCCAUAUAAAGUGAAUGGAAAGAGGAGGCAAACGACAUUUUGCCGUUCAUG